AAGGUUGUGUGAUAGUCAUUUUGAGGCAAAAUACAUUUCUGCUUGGUCUCACAAGUUAUUUGGGAACGCUGUUCCAACUCUCAAUCUUCCUGGUUCAACAGGCCCAAAUGAUGUAUAUGAUACUCCAUCAACAUCUUAGUCUUCAAAUAGUUCUGCUCAAGAAAGUAAUCAAUUAAAUGAGUUAGUCAUUGAGAUUCCAGAAUUGAACGAAUCUUCUCACAGUAUUGAAGGUAAUGCAGGCAGUGCACUAUUGUCACCAUAUCAGUUACUGAUAUCAACUGGGAUUGCAAAGCAUACAAUGACACCAAAAAA
Molecule: long non-coding RNA, 312 nt
Organism: Leptinotarsa decemlineata (Colorado potato beetle)
Lineage: Eukaryota; Metazoa; Arthropoda; Insecta; Coleoptera; Chrysomelidae
Source: RefSeq, a predicted model, not a curated record